Molecule: ribosomal RNA, 453 nt
Filed under: uncultured organism
Description: partial 16S ribosomal RNA
Rfam family: Bacterial small subunit ribosomal RNA
Source: RNAcentral
UACACUCCUACGGGAGGCAGCAGUGGGGAAUAUUGGACAAUGGGCGCAAGCCUGAUCCAGCCAUGCCGCGUGAGUGAUGAAGGCCCUAGGGUUGUAAAGCUCUUUCACCGGAGAAGAUAAUGACGGUAUCCGGAGAAGAAGCCCCGGCUAACUUCGUGCCAGCAGCCGCGGUAAUACGAAGGGGGCUAGCGUUGUUCGGAAUUACUGGGCGUAAAGCGCACGUAGGCGGAUCGAUCAGUCAGGGGUGAAAUCCCAGGGCUCAACCCUGGAACUGCCUUUGAUACUGUCGAUCUGGAGUAUGGAAGAGGUGAGUGGAAUUCCGAGUGUAGAGGUGAAAUUCGUAGAUAUUCGGAGGAACACCAGUGGCGAAGGCGGCUCACUGGUCCAUUACUGACGCUGAGGUGCGAAAGCGUGGGGAGCAAACAGGAUUAGAAACCCUUGUAGUCCCAUGAU